AAGGGCUUAGCUUAAUUAAAAUGGUUGAUUUGCAUUCAAUUGAUGCAGAAUAGAGUCUUGCAGUCCUUA
RNAcentral lists this transfer RNA (69 nucleotides) under Macaca fascicularis (crab-eating macaque). It matches the Rfam family "tRNA". Rfam says of the family: Transfer RNA (tRNA) molecules are approximately 80 nucleotides in length. The record is from Rfam by way of RNAcentral. Lineage: Eukaryota; Metazoa; Chordata; Mammalia; Primates; Cercopithecidae. RNAcentral also lists the same sequence under 3 other names.